This 100-nucleotide transfer RNA is filed under the name Collybiopsis luxurians FD-317 M1. Its description in RNAcentral is "tRNA-Ser (TGA) (tRNA-Ser-TGA-4-1)". It matches the Rfam family "tRNA". From Rfam's summary of the family: Transfer RNA (tRNA) molecules are approximately 80 nucleotides in length. Their secondary structure includes four short double-helical elements and three loops (D, anti-codon, and T loops). Further hydrogen bonds mediate the characteristic L-shaped molecular structure. tRNAs have two regions of fundamental functional importance: the anti-codon, which is responsible for specific mRNA codon recognition, and the 3' end, to which the tRNAs corresponding amino acid is attached (by aminoacyl-tRNA synthetases). tRNAs cope with the degeneracy of the genetic code in two manners: having more than one tRNA (with a specific anti-codon) for a particular amino acid; and 'wobble' base-pairing, i.e. permitting non-standard base-pairing at the 3rd anti-codon position. Lineage: Eukaryota; Fungi; Basidiomycota; Agaricomycetes; Agaricales; Omphalotaceae. The record is from Rfam by way of RNAcentral.
GGCACCAUGGUCUAGCUGGUUAAGACAUCUAUAACAAGUUAUCAAAAGGAAAUAUCAUCAUUGUUUAUGGAAGGCAAGGGUUUGAAUCCCUCUGGUGUCA